UACGUAGGGUGCAAGCGUUGUCCGGAAUUAUUGGGCGUAAAGAGCUCGUAGGCGGUUUGUCGCGUCUGCUGUGAAAACGCGAGGCUCAACCUCGCGCCUGCAGUGGGUACGGGCAGACUAGAGUGCGGUAGGGGAGAUUGGAAUUCCUGGUGUAGCGGUGAAAUGCGCAGAUAUCAGGAGGAACACCGGUGGCGAAGGCGGUUCUCUGGGCAUUACCUGACGCUGAGGAGCGAAAGUGUGGGGAGCGAACAGG
Molecule: ribosomal RNA, 253 nt
Filed under: uncultured bacterium
Lineage: Bacteria
Description: partial 16S ribosomal RNA
Rfam family: Bacterial small subunit ribosomal RNA
Source: RNAcentral